AACGAACGCUGGCGGCAUGCCUAACACAUGCAAGUCGAACGAGACCUUCGGGUCUAGUGGCGCACGGGUGCGUAACACGUGGGAAUUUGCCUCGGGGUAUGGAAUAACUCAGGGAAACUUGAGCUAAUACCAUAUAAUGUCUUCGGACCAAAGAUUUAUCGCCCUGAGAUAAGCCCGCGUAGGAUUAGCUAGUUGGUGGGGUAAAGGCUCACCAAGGCGACGAUCCUUAGCUGGUCUGAGAGGAUGAUCAGCCACACUGGGACUGAGACACGGCCCAGACUCCUACGGGAGGCAGCAGUGGGGAAUAUUGGACAAAUGGGCGAAAGCCUGAUCCAGCAAUGCCGCGUGAGUGAUGAAGGCCUCGGUUUGU
Molecule: ribosomal RNA, 370 nt
Filed under: uncultured bacterium
Lineage: Bacteria
Description: bacterial SSU rRNA
Rfam family: Bacterial small subunit ribosomal RNA
Source: RNAcentral